This 756-nucleotide ribosomal RNA is filed under the name uncultured Lachnospiraceae bacterium. Its description in RNAcentral is "bacterial SSU rRNA". It matches the Rfam family "Bacterial small subunit ribosomal RNA", at positions 74 to 845 of the family's 1533-position model. Lineage: Bacteria; Bacillati; Bacillota; Clostridia; Lachnospirales; Lachnospiraceae. The record is from RNAcentral.
UUCGGGCAAAUGAAAUAUAAACUUAGUGGCGGACGGGUGAGUAACGUGUGGGUAACCUACCCUAUACAGGAGGAUAACAGUAAGAAAUUAUUGCUAAAACUGCAUAAGAUUACGAGUUCGCAUGAACAAGUGAUAAAAACUUUAGUGGUAUAGGAUGGGCCCGCAUCUGAUUAGGUAGUUGGUGGAGUAAAAGCCUACCAAGCCGACGAUCAGUAGCCGAUCUGAGAGGAUGACCGGCCACAUUGGGACUGAGACACGGCCCAAACUCCUACGGGAGGCAGCAGUGGGGAAUAUUGGACAAUGGGGGAAACCCUGAUCCAGCGACGCCGCGUGAGUGAAGAAGUAUUUCGGUAUGUAAAGCUCUAUCAGCAGGGAAGAAAAUGACGGUACCUGACUAAGAAGCCCCGGCUAACUACGUGCCAGCAGCCGCGGUAAUACGUAGGGGGCAAGCGUUAUCCGGAUUUACUGGGUGUAAAGGGAGCGUAGACGGCGAUGUAAGUCUGAAGUGAAAGCCCACGGCUCAACUGUGGGACUGCUUUGGAAACUAUGUAGCUAGAGUAUCGGAGGGGCAAGCGGAAUUCCUAGUGUAGCGGUGAAAUGCGUAGAUAUUAGGAGGAACACCGGAGGCGAAGGCGGCUUGCUGGACGAAGACUGACGUUGAGGCUCGAAGGCGUGGGGAGCAAACAGGAUUAGAUACCCUGGUAGUCCACGCAGUAAACGAUGAAUACUAGAUGUCGGAGAGGUUACUUUUCGGUG